This 272-nucleotide ribosomal RNA is filed under the name uncultured bacterium. RNAcentral describes it as "partial 16S ribosomal RNA". It matches the Rfam family "Bacterial small subunit ribosomal RNA", at positions 524 to 802 of the family's 1533-position model. The record is from RNAcentral.
UACGGAGGGUGCAAGCGUUAAUCGGAAUUACUGGGCGUAAAGCGCGCGUAGGUGGUUUGAUAAGCGAGAUGUGAAAGCCCCGGGCUUAACCUGGGAACGGCAUUUCGAACUGUCAGGCUAGAGUAUGGUAGAGGAGUGUGGAAUUUCCUGUGUAGCGGUGAAAUGCGUAGAUAUAGGAAGGAACACCAGUGGCGAAGGCGGCACUCUGGACCAAUACUGACACUGAGGUGCGAAAGUGUGGGGAGCAACAGAGUAGUUACCGAUCCCGACUC